Lagopus muta (rock ptarmigan) is the source of this 1155-nucleotide long non-coding RNA. RefSeq lists it as uncharacterized. The transcript is spliced from 3 exons. Lineage: Eukaryota; Metazoa; Chordata; Aves; Galliformes; Phasianidae. The record is from RefSeq and is a predicted model, not a curated record.
GCUUAUGCUGUCAGUGAACCUGCCUUCUGGCUUCUCCCCUGAGAUUGGAGAGUGGAAGAGUCUCAGAUCUCAUCAUACGGAUCCUGCCUUCCCUCUUGGCGUUGUCACUUCUUUUAGAAGACCAAGCACCUGUUCUUAUGUCCCACGCUAGCAUCAGUGGACAGAAGGAUGCAGUAGCCUGCCUGCCCUGCUCCUGCGCUAUCAGUCUCAACUGAGGAAUAAGCAGGAAGAGCUUGGAGACAAGAUGACAAGAUCUGGCCCUGUCCUCAUCUCUGUCACACUUAUAAAUCUAGAGAAAUUCCACUUGUUCCUUGAGGACAUGCAAGGAUUUUAUUAUAGAAGUGUUGAAAACUGGAAUCCAGCACAUCAGAUUAACAUAAAAUGCAAGGGAAAAGUACCCAGCAACAAGCAAAGGGCAAUACAGAAAAUAGGUUUGUUAAAAGCAAAUUGGAUGUGUUUGUUUUCUUCUUUUUUUCCCUCUACAUUAAUGCCAUCCAGGCCUCUCCCGUAUAUUCUUGAGAAAAUGACUUCGUUAUAUCAGAGAAAUAUAUUGAAAAUGAAAUCAGUGGAAGCACCAAAUGUGCCCAGACAUGACAAGACUUUUAAGUAACAACAGCAGAAUUCUAUCUCCUUUCCUGUUUGUUCCAUGUUAACUUAUGGAGAUUGGUGCUGACUUUCUGGAAUGGCUGCAGCAAGCUGUAAAUGAUGUAUGAAAAUGAAAUGAAAAUUCUCUGCCCGAGCCACUGUGCACAGCAAUUGCUGCUGAGCCAAAUUAAUAGCUAUUUGCUCCUGUGUGCUCUGACAUGGGAUGGAGCCAGAGAAGCCAGUAGUAAAGAAACUGGAACAGCUAUCCACAGGUAUCCUGGACAGGACUCCUGCAGAUCCUUUAUUCCAUCUUCAGUGGUGGAGUCCCUUCAGAGAGGUGAAAAGGAGGAGACUCAAAUGUUUUCAGCCCUUCCUGGAAAAGCCCCAGGGGUUGGCUCACAAAAUCAGAGAAUAUCCCAAGUUGGAAGAGACCCAUAAGGAUCAUCAAUUCCAACUCCUGGCUCCGCACAGGACCACCCAAAAAUCAGGCUCUACGUCUGAGAGCUUUGUCCAGAUGCUUCUUGAACUUUGGCAAGAUUGGUGCCAUGACUGCUGCCCUGGGGAGCCUGU